AAUAAAUCUGUCAAAAAUCACACAAAUUGAAAAUGUCACAAUUUAAAGUCUACGAAAUAUUAAGCGACGACGAUAAAAAUCAAAUAACCGAUCACUGGAACCGAUUUGUUGUUCCAAACUUUCAUAAAUACUGUAACAUCUUCUACGCGCGACUCAAGCAGCACUUUCCCGCACAUCUGUUAUUUUUCGGCGAUGAACACGAUGAACACGAACAAAACCAGAAGAUAUCAAGAAUCCCAAUGUUAUUUUGAAACAAAUUGAAUUUGUUGGACAAUCACAUCCUCGAAUCGCAGAUUCCGAAUUUAGUAAAAUGCGCGUCACCCUGCUCGAUAUGCUAGAAGAACUUUACGAUGCGCGCAGUUUUCGCAAAGACCUUGCUGAUUCUUGGGAGAAAUUUUUACGCAUUUUAUUUUAUGCAAUAAGCGAACGCACAUCUGAUCCCAAUGCACAUCCAGAUCAAUAAAAUUAAUAAAAUUCAUGUUCUUGUA
Molecule: long non-coding RNA, 488 nt
Organism: Dalotia coriaria
Lineage: Eukaryota; Metazoa; Arthropoda; Insecta; Coleoptera; Staphylinidae
Exons: 2
Source: RefSeq, a predicted model, not a curated record